RNAcentral lists this ribosomal RNA (468 nucleotides) under uncultured bacterium. RNAcentral describes it as "partial 16S ribosomal RNA". It matches the Rfam family "Bacterial small subunit ribosomal RNA", at positions 28 to 507 of the family's 1533-position model. The record is from RNAcentral.
GACGAACGCUGGCGGCGUGCUUAACACAUGCAAGUCGAACGGUGAAGCUCCAGCUUGCUGGAGUGGAUCAGUGGCGAACGGGUGAGUAACACGUGAGCAACCUGCCCCAGACUCUGGAAUAAGCGCUGGAAACGGCGUCUAAUACUGGAUACGAGAUCAAGCCGCAUGGUUAUGGUCUGGAAAGUUUGUCGGUUUGGGAUGGGCUCGCGGCCUAUCAGCUUGUUGGUGAGGUAAUGGCUCACCAAGGCGACGACGGGUAGCCGGCCUGAGAGGGCGACCGGCCACACUGGGACUGAGACACGGCCCAGACUCCUACGGGAGGCAGCAGUGGGGAAUAUUGCACAAUGGGCGGAAGCCUGAUGCAGCGACGCCGCGUGAGGGAUGACGGCCUUCGGGUUGUAAACCUCUUUCAGCAGGGAAGAAGCGAAAGUGACGGUACCUGCAGAAGAAGCACCGGCUAACUACGUG